UACGUAGGGCGCAAGCGUUGUUCGGAUUUACUGGGCGUAAAGGGCGCGUAGGCGGCGUAACAAGUCACUUGUGAAAUCUCCGGGCUUAACUCGGAGCGGCCAAGUGAUACUGUUGUGCUAGAGUGCGGAAGGGGCUACUGGAAUUCUCGGUGUAGCGGUGAAAUGCGUAGAUAUCGAGAGGAACACCUGCGGCGAAGGCGGGUAGCUGGGCCGACACUGACGCUGAGGAGCGAAAGCCAGGGGAGCAAACGGG
RNAcentral lists this ribosomal RNA (253 nucleotides) under uncultured bacterium. Its description in RNAcentral is "partial 16S ribosomal RNA". It matches the Rfam family "Bacterial small subunit ribosomal RNA", at positions 524 to 776 of the family's 1533-position model. The record is from RNAcentral.